This 392-nucleotide non-coding RNA is filed under the name Medicago truncatula (barrel medic). RNAcentral's name for it is "Bacterial small subunit ribosomal RNA". It matches the Rfam family "Bacterial small subunit ribosomal RNA", at positions 583 to 1495 of the family's 1533-position model. The record is from Rfam by way of RNAcentral. Lineage: Eukaryota; Viridiplantae; Streptophyta; Magnoliopsida; Fabales; Fabaceae.
UGAUACCAUAGCUUGAAUUUGCUCAUUCAAAUAGAGAGUACUAUUGGAGUAAUGUGUAAAACAAUUACUAAAGAAUUUUAUAAGAGAAGAUUUUAUUCCAGUGGAGCGAUGAAAUCCGUAGAGAUCGGAAGGAACAUCAAAGGCGAAAGCACUCUGCUGAUUCGACCCUGAGAGAAAGCUAGGGGAGCGAAUGGGAUUAGAGACCCCAGUAGUACACCUAGCCCCAAACAAUGGAUACCAGGCGGCUGUGCGUAUCGACCCGUGCAAUGUUAUUGCUAACGCACUAAGCAUCCCGCCUGGGGAGUACAUUCGCAAGAAGGUACACGUGAUAGAUUUACCUCUUCAUGGAAGAAGGUACACUUGAUCAAGAGCAGGAUUGACAGAUUUCUUAU